CCCAGACUCCUACGGGAGGCAGCAGUGGGGAAUAUUGCACAAUGGGGGGAACCCUGAUGCAGCGACGCCGCGUGGGUGAAGGAGUACUUCGGUACGUAAAGCCCUAUCAGCAGGAAAGAAAAUGACGGUACCUGACUAAGAAGCCCCGGCUAACUACGUGCCAGCAGCCGCGGUAAUACGUAGGGGGCAAGCGUUAUCCGGAUUUACUGGGUGUAAAGGGAGCGUAGACGGCAGUGCAAGUCCGGAGUGAAAGCCCGGGGCUCAACCCUGGGACUGCUCUGGAAACUGUAAAGCUGGAGUGCGGGAGGGGCAGGCGGAAUUCCUGGUGUAGCGGUGAAAUGCGUAGAUAUCAGGAGGAACACCGGCGGCGAAGGCGGCCUGCUGGACCGUAACUGACGUUGAGGCUCGAAAGCGUGGGGAGCAAACAGGAUUAGAUACCCUGGUA
RNAcentral lists this ribosomal RNA (445 nucleotides) under uncultured bacterium. RNAcentral describes it as "bacterial SSU rRNA". It matches the Rfam family "Bacterial small subunit ribosomal RNA", at positions 330 to 792 of the family's 1533-position model. The record is from RNAcentral.